AUGAAGGGGACAGGUGUGUGUAAUGAAGGGGACAGGUGUGUGUAAUGAAGGGGACAGGUGUGUGUAAUGAAGGGGACAGGUCUGUGUAAUGAAGGGGACAGGUGUGCGUAAUGAAGGGGACAGGUGUGCGUAAUGAAGGGGACAGGUGUGUGUAAUGAAGGGGACAGCUGUGCGUAAUGAAGGGGACAGGUGUGUGUAAUGAAGGGGACAGGUGUGUGGAAUGAAGGGGACAGGUGUGUGUAAUGAAGGGGACAGGUCUGUGUAAUGAUGGGGACAGGUGUGUGUAAUGAAGGGAACAGGUGUGUAAUGAAGGGGACAGGUCUGUGUAAUGAAAGGGACAGCUGUGUGUAAUGAAGGGGACAGCUGUGUG
Long non-coding RNA from Oncorhynchus tshawytscha (Chinook salmon), 370 nucleotides. The record is from Ensembl. NCBI's taxonomy places the organism in Eukaryota, Metazoa, Chordata, Actinopteri, Salmoniformes, Salmonidae.